This is a non-coding RNA of Caenorhabditis elegans, 143 nucleotides long. The record is from Ensembl. Lineage: Eukaryota; Metazoa; Nematoda; Chromadorea; Rhabditida; Rhabditidae.
AACUGAAAUAGAGAAAGUUGCGAAAAAAUGAAAGCGCUAGAAGAGAUAAGAUUAGCAGAUAUACCCCCGCAUAGUGUGAAGAACAAUAUUUGCAGUGCCAAGUUUCAAAUGUUUCAGUGGGGAGGGAGAGGGCUUGAAACUUG